GAGUUUGAUCGUGGCUCGGGACGAACGCUGGCGGCGUGCUUAACACAUGCAAGUCGAGCGAGGAGCUUGCUCCUAGCGGCGAACGGGUGAGUAACACGUGGGCAACCUGCCCCAAGCUCUGGAAUAACUCCGGGAAACCGGGGCUAAUGCCGGAUAUGACAUCGCUGGGCAUCUGGUGGUGUGGAAAGAUUUAUCGGCUUGGGAUGGGCCCGCGGCCUAUCAGCUUGUUGGUGGGGUGAUGGCCUACCAAGGCGACGACGGGUAGCCGGCCUGAGAGGGCGAUCGGCCACACUGGGACUGAGACACGGCCCAGACUCCUACGGGAGGCAGCAGUGGGGAAUAUUGCGCAAUGGGCGAAAGCCUGACGCAGCGACGCCGCGUGAGGGGUGAC
RNAcentral lists this ribosomal RNA (391 nucleotides) under uncultured Actinomycetes bacterium. RNAcentral's name for it is "bacterial SSU rRNA". It matches the Rfam family "Bacterial small subunit ribosomal RNA", at positions 9 to 412 of the family's 1533-position model. The record is from RNAcentral. Lineage: Bacteria; Bacillati; Actinomycetota; Actinomycetes.